GCCUGGGUGGCUCAGUUGGUUAAGCGACUGACUUCAACUCAGGUCAUGAUCUUGUGGUCUAUGAGUUCGAGCCCCAUGUCAGGCC
This 85-nucleotide transfer RNA is filed under the name Felis catus (domestic cat). It matches the Rfam family "tRNA". From Rfam's summary of the family: Transfer RNA (tRNA) molecules are approximately 80 nucleotides in length. Their secondary structure includes four short double-helical elements and three loops (D, anti-codon, and T loops). The record is from Rfam by way of RNAcentral. Lineage: Eukaryota; Metazoa; Chordata; Mammalia; Carnivora; Felidae. RNAcentral also lists the same sequence under 1 other name.